UACAGAGGUGGCAAGCGUUGUUCGGAUUUAUUGGGCGUAAAGGGUCCGUAGGCGGUUUGGAAAGUUGGAUGUGAAAUCCCACAGCUUAACUGUGGAACUGCAUUCAAAACUUCCAGACUGGAGUGUGAGAGGGGUAAAGGGAAUUCCCGGUGUAAGGGUGAAAUCUGCAGAUAUCGGGAAGAACACCAGUCGCGAAGGCGCUUUACUGGCUCAUAACUGACGCUGAGGGACGAAAGCUAGGGUAGCAAACGGG
Molecule: ribosomal RNA, 253 nt
Filed under: uncultured bacterium
Lineage: Bacteria
Description: partial 16S ribosomal RNA
Rfam family: Bacterial small subunit ribosomal RNA
Source: RNAcentral